UACGGAGGGGGCAAGCGUUGUUCGGAAUUACUGGGCGUAAAGGGCGCGCAGGCGGCUGCUCAAGUCAGGCGUGAAAGGCCUGGGCUCAACCCGGGAAUUGCGCUUGAGACUGGGCUGGCUUGAGUGCGGGAGAGGAUGGUGGAAUUCCCAGUGUAGAGGUGAAAUUCGUAGAUAUCUGGAGGAACACCGGUGGCGAAGGCGGCAUCCUGGACCAACACUGACGCUGAGGAGCGAAAGCCAGGGGAGCAAACGGG
RNAcentral lists this ribosomal RNA (254 nucleotides) under uncultured bacterium. RNAcentral describes it as "partial 16S ribosomal RNA". It matches the Rfam family "Bacterial small subunit ribosomal RNA", at positions 524 to 776 of the family's 1533-position model. The record is from RNAcentral.